This 468-nucleotide ribosomal RNA is filed under the name uncultured bacterium. RNAcentral's name for it is "partial 16S ribosomal RNA". It matches the Rfam family "Bacterial small subunit ribosomal RNA", at positions 28 to 507 of the family's 1533-position model. The record is from RNAcentral.
GACGAACGCUGGCGGCGGGCUUAACACAUGCAAGUCGAACGGAAAGGCCCUGCUUUUGUGGGGUGCUCGAGUGGCGAACGGGUGAGUAACACGUGAGUAACCUUCCCUUGACUUUGGGAUAACUUCAGGAAACUGGGGCUAAUACCGGAUAGGAGCUCCUGCUGCAUGGGGGGGGUUGGAAAGUUUCGGCGGUUGGGGAUGGAUGCGGGGCUUAUCAGCUUGUGGGUGGGGGAGUGGCUUACUAAGGCUUUGGAGGGUAGCCGGCCUGAGUGGGUGACCGGCGACAUUGGGACUGAGAUACGGACCAGACUGCUACGGGAGGCAGCAGUGGGGAAUAUUGCACAAUGGGCGGAAGCCUGAUGCAGAAACGCCGCGUGCGGGAUGAAGGCCUUCGGGUUGUAAACCGCUUUCGCCUGUGACGAAGCGUGAGUGACGGUAAUGGGUAAAGAAGCACCGGCUAACUACGUG